CUUUAGCAUUUCUAGUAUUGGAGGCACUGCCUGCCCGGUGACACUUGUUUAACGGCCGCGGUAUCCUGACCGUGCAAAGGUAGCAUAAUCAUUUGUUCUCUAAAUAGGGACUUGUAUGAAUGGCCACACGAGGGUUUAACUGUCUCUUACUCCCAAUCAGUGAAAUUGACCUUCCCGUGAAGAGGCGGGAAUACCACAAUAAGACGAGAAGACCCUAUGGAGCUUUAAUUAACUAACCCAAACUUAUGGAUACUAGAUACCUACAAGGCAUAACAUAACACCAUUAUUAUGAGUUAGCAAUUUAGGUUGGGGUGACCUCGGAAUAUAAAAAAACUCCCGAGUGAUUAAAAUUUAGACCCACAAGUCAAAAUACAACAUCACUUAUUGAUCCAAUAAUUUUUGAUCAACGGAACAAGUUACCCUAGGGAUAACAGCGCAAUCCUAUUCAAGAGUCCAUAUCGACAAUAGGGUUUACGACCUCGAUGUUGGAUCAGGACAUCCUAAUGGUGCAGCAGCUAUUAAGGGUUCGUUUGUUCAACGAUUAAAGUCCUAC
This 553-nucleotide ribosomal RNA is filed under the name Canis lupus familiaris (dog). Its description in RNAcentral is "partial large subunit ribosomal RNA". It matches the Rfam family "Bacterial large subunit ribosomal RNA", at positions 1832 to 2599 of the family's 2925-position model. The record is from RNAcentral. Lineage: Eukaryota; Metazoa; Chordata; Mammalia; Carnivora; Canidae.